CCUACGGGGGGCUGCAGUAAGGAAUAUUGGACAAUGGCGGAGACGCUGAUCCAGCUAUCCCGCGUGCAGGAUGAAGGACCUCUGGUUUGUAAACUGCUUUAGACUGGGGCGAAAAAGUGGGAUUUAUCCUACAUUGACGGUACCAGUAAAAUAAGCACCGGCUAACUCCGUGCCAGCAGCCGCGGUAAUACGGAGGGUGCAAGCAUCAUCCGGAAUCAAGGGGGAGUAGGCGGCUUGCUAAGUCAGGAUAGAAAGGCCACGGCUUAACCGUGGGAUUGCUUUUGAUACUGGCGAGCUUGGAUUAGGACGAGGUUGGCGGAAUGUGGCAAGUAGCGGUGAAAUGCAUAGAUAUGCCAUAGAAUACCGAUUGCGAAGGCAGCUGACUAGACCUAUAUUGACGCUGAGGCACGAAAGCGUGGGGAGCGAACAGGAUUAGAUACCCUUGUAGUC
RNAcentral lists this ribosomal RNA (450 nucleotides) under uncultured bacterium. RNAcentral's name for it is "partial 16S ribosomal RNA". It matches the Rfam family "Bacterial small subunit ribosomal RNA", at positions 338 to 795 of the family's 1533-position model. The record is from RNAcentral.